RNAcentral lists this long non-coding RNA (634 nucleotides) under Amborella trichopoda. RNAcentral describes it as "long non-coding RNA (ATRI_LNC002123)". Lineage: Eukaryota; Viridiplantae; Streptophyta; Magnoliopsida; Amborellales; Amborellaceae. The record is from RNAcentral.
AUUUGUUAAAUGCUUUUGAUUGUAUUAUUAAUUAUAAUAUCAUUUUUCAUUAAAAUUGAGAUAGUUUCUCUCGCUAAAAUUUUUUAGAUAAUUUCACUCCCUACAAAUUUUCAAGUAUUUUUCUUGUUAAAAAAAUUAUAAAGUUUCUCUCUCCGCUACUUAACACAUUACCUUUUUUCUACGGACCCAACUCAAAAUCAUGUGUAUUUUGUAGGGAACUUUGAAACUAAAUCAAAACAAAUGGGUAAAAUGUUGAGAGUUAACACCUUAGGAACAUUUUGAUAAAUUUUGAUCAUAUGCUUGCCUUGUAGCGUAUGUUUCGCCGAAUCACUCCAUCAGGUAAACUCCCAUCUAGAAAUAUUUUCAGGAUUUCAAAAUAUAGGCAUAUGACCUCCUGACAUAACUAGGCCUAAAAAAAUGAAAAACUAUAUGGAUCAAUCAGGAAGAAUACAGGAAGGUUGUGGAGAAGCAAUACAAAGUUGCAGGAGGAGGGAACUAGUGGGUGUGUUUCUGGUUGGUCCAAGAAGGAGACGGGUUUGGGUGUCUUUCUGUUGGUCCAAGAAGGAGAAGGGUUAGGAUAAUAGAUGCUCUUGUUGCAUUUUUUUUAUGUGAAUGCUAAAUUUUGAAACUGGUG